GUGCUCGUGAGGGCGCAGAAGCUGUGCUGGGGGGGGAGGGGGAGGGCAGCGGCGACGUCACCGGCACGAAUCCCCUGCGAGGCAACCGUGAACGUGGCCGGAGGUGCUUGAAGUUGCGGUCUCGAAGUGGGGGCGUUCCCGGUCCCUACACGGAUGAGCAUGUCUGUGCCAGGCAGCUGUCCCCAAAGCCACACCACCCGAGCGGCACCGAGCACCUGGACAAAGUUCCUAAGAGGCCACCUGCCCUCACCGUCUUGACCGCCUGCGUCGCCUCCUCCAGCCCCACCGUGUUUCUCUUGAGGCAGCAGGACCAGAAUGACCCAUAGCAUCUUAGGCACCCUGCGACGAGCCCAGUACUGUGCCUGGCGUCUUCUGUUGGUCUCCAAGACUCCGUGACGGCCAGCAUCGUAGCCCCAACAGCGCCCCGUCCCACGGCCAAGCUAAAAGACUAGUGAGCCUUCUCUGGAAGAACUUAGAGCCCGCAGCUACUCACUCUGUCCCAUCUCGAAGCUUGGCUAGUAUUUCCUGGCCUCUUCUCUUGGAAUCUCCUUUUUUUCCCCUCCAAUGAAUUGUUGCAGACUGGUCA
This is a long non-coding RNA of Felis catus (domestic cat), 586 nucleotides long. RefSeq lists it as uncharacterized. The transcript is spliced from 2 exons. NCBI's taxonomy places the organism in Eukaryota, Metazoa, Chordata, Mammalia, Carnivora, Felidae. The record is from RefSeq and is a predicted model, not a curated record.